Molecule: long non-coding RNA, 558 nt
Filed under: Parus major (Great Tit)
Lineage: Eukaryota; Metazoa; Chordata; Aves; Passeriformes; Paridae
Description: lncRNA (ENSPMJG00000017689.1)
Source: RNAcentral
CUUCAUUAAUGCAUUUCAAAUGCUUUCUUUGCAGAAUUUGGAAACUGAUUUAGGAGAGACGAGGAAAAAAAUAAAAAGUUUACACAGUAUAUGCAGUAACUUCAGGUAGAUGUGAAACAGGAAGAACUUUUCCAAAAUGAUUGUGAUGCAGUUGGAGCUAAGAAGGAGUUAGAGGAGCCACAGAAUCUUUACAGACAAAACAUUGAAGAUACAACACAGCAGGCUGAGCUGAUAAAGCAGCUAGAGGCUCUCAAUGCUGAUACACAAAAAGUACUGCAAGACCAAGAAUAUGCUCACACAGCUAAAACAACAUAUCAAAAAUCUCAAGAAUCUUAUGAGCUAAGAGCAGCCUAUGGAAAACACGAAGAGAGGCUGCAGAUGUUACAGACCAACUACAGAGCACUAAAAGAGCAAUUAAAGCAGUGGGAAGAGGGUGAUAGCAGGUAAGUUACAUAGCUCAUUAAAAACAUUUUCCUUACACAAGAAAUCUUAAUAGAAGUAUUACAUAGGUAUUCAAAAGAGAAUGUAAUUUGAAGGAAGGAGCUACUGUGUGGUGAU